UGGGGAAUCUUGCGCAAUGGGCGAAAGCCUGACGCAGCAACGCCGCGUGCGGGAAGAAGGCCUUCGGGUUGUAAACCGCUUUCAGCAGGAAAGAAAAUGACGGUACCUGCAGAAGAAGGUGCGGCCAACUACGUG
This 135-nucleotide ribosomal RNA is filed under the name uncultured Actinomycetes bacterium. RNAcentral describes it as "uncultured actinobacterium partial 16S ribosomal RNA". It matches the Rfam family "Bacterial small subunit ribosomal RNA", at positions 355 to 507 of the family's 1533-position model. The record is from RNAcentral. Lineage: Bacteria; Bacillati; Actinomycetota; Actinomycetes.